GUCGCCAUCACGCCGCCGGCCGUUCCUCACUUCCCGGCAACGGCGGCCAGGAGGAAUUCUGCCGCAUCUUCAAACAGCAGCCGCAUCGGACUGCGUGUUAAGGACGAGAAGAGUCUCUGGGGAAGGACAGUGAGGAUUGUUCAGGGCUGGGCUGGUCACCAUACCAUCUACUGCACUAUAGAUUAGCUAAGUUAUUUCUUCCAGGCAAAUUAGGAGAGCAAAAAAAACCAGUUGUUUCUAUAUUUUCAUUUACUGGCUCGGGAACUAUAUAUAGAGUUUUAUCUGAGCAAUGCCUGGGAAGCGAUAUGAUCACAUAUCGAUGAGUUACGCUACGUACUUUCCUUCAAUAAGAAUAUUUCUAGAUUUUUAUUGCCUUCUGCAAAAAAAAAAUGAGUACAAAAUCUCAUUAUCUCAAAUUUGUAAGGUAGAUUCUUAGCUUUCUAGUAGUUAGUUCUAUUGUUUAUACUAUUAAUAUAUAUCAAAAGUCAGCUAAUCUUUCGUUCUUCGUACUUCGUACACGAAAGAACGGAGGCUUAGUCAUCUCUUCAGGUCAAGAAUAUUGUAUCCUACAACGCAAAUGUCUAGAGAUCACAACGAUCACAACAGGGCAGUGACAUGGCUAUGACUCUAUGAAUGUUGAUGAAACAAAGUCAUUCAUCUAUGUCUGUUGUUCGGCAGUUCACCUCACCAUUCAGCUUGUAAUUAAAGAAGUGCAUGUUGAUGUGUGGCACUGGAGUUUCUGUGAUCUUUAAU
Molecule: long non-coding RNA, 753 nt
Filed under: Oryza brachyantha (malo sina)
Lineage: Eukaryota; Viridiplantae; Streptophyta; Magnoliopsida; Poales; Poaceae
Description: long non-coding RNA (OBRA_LNC003459)
Source: RNAcentral